AAAGCUCAAAUUUGAAAUCUGGCGUCUUCGACGUCCGAGUUGUAAUUUGAAGAAGGCGACUUUGUAGCUGGUCCUUGUCUAUGUUCCUUGGAACAGGACGUCAUAGAGGGUGAGAAUCCCGUGUGGCGAGGAUCCCAGUUAUUUGUAAAGUGCUUUCGACGAGUCGAGUUGUUUGGGAAUGCAGCUCUAAGUGGGUGGUAAAUUCCAUCUAAAGCUAAAUAUUGGCGAGAGACCGAUAGCGAACAAGUACAGUGAUGGAAAGAUGAAAAGAACUUUGAAAAGAGAGUGAAAAAGUACGUGAAAUUGUUGAAAGGGAAGGGCAUUUGAUCAGACAUGGCGUUUGCUUCGGCUUUCGCUGGGCCAGCAUCAGUUUUAGCGGUUGGAUAAAUCCUCGGGAAUGUGGCUCUGCUUCGGUAGAGUGUUAUAGCCCGUGGGAAUACAGCCAGCUGGGACUGAGGAUUGCGACUUUUGUCAAGGAUGCUGGCGUAAUGGUUAAAUG
This 499-nucleotide ribosomal RNA is filed under the name Kluyveromyces marxianus. Its description in RNAcentral is "eukaryotic LSU rRNA". It matches the Rfam family "Eukaryotic large subunit ribosomal RNA", at positions 104 to 644 of the family's 3401-position model. Lineage: Eukaryota; Fungi; Ascomycota; Saccharomycetes; Saccharomycetales; Saccharomycetaceae. The record is from RNAcentral.